Molecule: ribosomal RNA, 563 nt
Filed under: Enterobacter sp.
Lineage: Bacteria; Pseudomonadati; Pseudomonadota; Gammaproteobacteria; Enterobacterales; Enterobacteriaceae
Description: bacterial SSU rRNA
Rfam family: Bacterial small subunit ribosomal RNA
Source: RNAcentral
AGCGGCGGACGGGUGAGUAAUGUCUGGGAAACUGCCUGAUGGAGGGGGAUAACUACUGGAAACGGUAGCUAAUACCGCAUAACGUCGCAAGACCAAAGAGGGGGACCUUCGGGCCUCUUGCCAUCAGAUGUGCCCAGAUGGGAUUAGCUAGUAGGUGGGGUAACGGCUCACCUAGGCGACGAUCCCUAGCUGGUCUGAGAGGAUGACCAGCCACACUGGAACUGAGACACGGUCCAGACUCCUACGGGAGGCAGCAGUGGGGAAUAUUGCACAAUGGGCGCAAGCCUGAUGCAGCCAUGCCGCGUGUAUGAAGAAGGCCUUCGGGUUGUAAAGUACUUUCAGCGGGGAGGAAGGUGUUGAGGUUAAUAACCUCAGCAAUUGACGUUACCCGCAGAAGAAGCACCGGCUAACUCCGUGCCAGCAGCCGCGGUAAUACGGAGGGUGCAAGCGUUAAUCGGAAUUACUGGGCGUAAAGCGCACGCAGGCGGUCUGUCAAGUCGGAUGUGAAAUCCCCGGGCUCAACCUGGGAACUGCAUUCGAAACUGGCAGGCUAGAGUCUUGUA